Molecule: transfer RNA, 64 nt
Filed under: Ceratomantis saussurii
Lineage: Eukaryota; Metazoa; Arthropoda; Insecta; Mantodea; Hymenopodidae
Description: tRNA-His
Source: RNAcentral
ACUUAAGUAGUUUAAGAAAAAUUAUGAUUUGUGAUAUCGUAGAUAUAAAAAUUUAUCUUAGGUU